UUUUGGUCGAAUAAUUGGAAUGAGUACAAUUUAAAUCCCUUAACGAGGAUCAAUUGGAGGGCAAGUCUGGUGCCAGCAGCCGCGGUAAUUCCAGCUCCAAUAGCGUAUAUUAAAGUUGCUGCAGUUAAAAAGCUCGUAGUUGGAUUUCUGACAUUAAUGCGCUUGGCCCGCUCCGGUUACGGAUGUGAGUGCCNAGUCGUGUUUGUCAUCCUUCUAGAAAAUGUUAGUUUGCUCUUCAUUGAGUUUAAUUAUCACGAUCUAGAUCUUUUACUUUGAAAAAAUUAGAGUGUUUAAAGCAGGCGUUUGCUAUGAAUACAUUAGCAUGGAAUAAUAAUUUAGGACUUUGGUUCUAUUUUGUUGGUUUCUAGAACUGAAGUAAUGAUUGAUAGGGAUGGUUGGGGGUGCUCGUAUUCAGUGGCCAGAGGUGAAAUUCUCGGAUUCACUGAAGACGAACUUAUGCGAAAGCAUUCACCAAGGAUGUCUUCUUUAAUCAAGAACGAAAGUUGGGGGAUCGAAGACGAUCAGAUACCGUCGUAGUCUCAACUAUAAACUAUGCCGACUAGGGAUGAGUGAACGUUGCAUUUUCGACUUCAUUUGCACCUUAUGAGAAAUCAAAGUCUUUGGGUUCCGGGGGGAGUAUGGUCGCAGGCUGAAACUUAAAGGAAUU
RNAcentral lists this ribosomal RNA (667 nucleotides) under uncultured Glissomonadida. RNAcentral describes it as "SSU rRNA". It matches the Rfam family "Eukaryotic small subunit ribosomal RNA", at positions 495 to 1154 of the family's 1831-position model. Lineage: Eukaryota; Cercozoa; Glissomonadida. The record is from RNAcentral.